This 497-nucleotide ribosomal RNA is filed under the name uncultured bacterium. RNAcentral describes it as "partial 16S ribosomal RNA". It matches the Rfam family "Bacterial small subunit ribosomal RNA", at positions 28 to 507 of the family's 1533-position model. The record is from RNAcentral.
GAUGAACGCUGGCGGCGUGCCUAAUACAUGCAAGUCGAGCGGACGGACGAGAAGCUUGCUUCUCUGAUGUUAGCGGCGGACGGGUGAGUAACACGUGGAUAACCUACCUAUAAGACUGGGAUAACUUCGGGAAACCGUAGAUAAUACCGGAUAAUAUUUUGAAACGCAUGGUUCAACAGUGAAAGACGGACUUGCUGUCACUUAUAGAUGGAUCCGAGCUGCAUUAGCUAGUUGGUAAGGUAACGGCCUACCAAGGCAACGAUGCAUAGCCGACCUGAGAGGGUGAUCGGCCACACUGGAACUGAGACACGGUCCAGACUCCUACGGGAGGCAGCAGUAGGGAAUCUUCCGCAAUGGGCGAAAGCCUGACGGAGCCACGCCGCGUGAGUGAUGAAGGUCUUCGGAUCGUAAAGCUCUGUUAGUAGGGAAGAACAUAUGUGUAAGUAACUGUGCACAUCUUGACGGUACCUAAUCAGAAAGCCCCGGCUAACUACGUG